Molecule: long non-coding RNA, 386 nt
Organism: Cyprinus carpio carpio
Lineage: Eukaryota; Metazoa; Chordata; Actinopteri; Cypriniformes; Cyprinidae
Source: Ensembl
CCCUCUUCCCCAAUUUAAAUAGCUUUGGAUACGUUUCACAAGCAACAUCUGUUUUGACCACAGCUGUUUCAGAUGUAACGGUACAUCGGAUAAUUGUUAUUGUUGUAAAUAUGUGCAGGCCGGAGUGUGGUUGUCAGUCAGUGGUGUACAGACCGAUUUCUCGGUAAUUAACGCGGUGCUGAAAUUGGAGAGAUGUGGAGGUGGUGAAUUUGCUCCGCACCCGCCAAUCUGCCAGUCAGAGGGAUGCUGAAAAAUUUCGGUUUGAGUGAAUGAGCAACAUUUGAAGCUUGCUGAAUCUUGCCUGAAGAGGAGCAGAAUAUGCAUGAAUAUAAGUCACAAUAUGUAAUCAAUUGGAAAUAAAUGCAUCCAGAACAGAAGGAAUUGUG